This 468-nucleotide ribosomal RNA is filed under the name uncultured bacterium. Its description in RNAcentral is "partial 16S ribosomal RNA". It matches the Rfam family "Bacterial small subunit ribosomal RNA", at positions 28 to 507 of the family's 1533-position model. The record is from RNAcentral.
GACGAACGCUGGCGGCGUGCUUAACACAUGCGAGUCGAACGGAAAGGCCCUGCUUUUGUGGGGUGCUCGAGUGGCGAACGGGUGAGUAACACGUGAGUAACCUGCCCUUGACUUUGGGAUAACUUCAGGAAACUGGGGCUAAUACCGGAUAGGAGCUCCUGCUGCAGGGUGGGGGUUGGAAAGUUUCGGCGGUUGGGGAUGGACUCGCGGCUUAUCAGCUUGUUGGUGGGGUAGUGGCUUACCAAGGCUUUGACGGGUAGCCGGCCUGAGAGGGUGACCGGCCACAUUGGGACUGAGAUACGGCCCAGACUCCUACGGGAGGCAGCAGUGGGGAAUAUUGCACAAUGGGCGGAAGCCUGAUGCAGCAACGCCGCGUGCGGGAUGACGGCCUUCGGGUUGUAAACCGCUUUCGCCUGUGACGAGGCGUGAGUGACGGUAAUGGGUAAAGAAGCACCGGCUAACUACGUG